AUUGAACGCUGGCGGCAGGCCUAACACAUGCAAGUCGAACGGUAACAGGAAGCAGCUUGCUGCUUUGCUGACGAGUGGCGGACGGGUGAGUAAUGUCUGGGAAACUGCCUGAUGGAGGGGGAUAACUACUGGAAACGGUAGCUAAUACCGCAUAACGUCGCAAGACCAAAGAGGGGGACCUUCGGGCCUCUUGCCAUCGGAUGUGCCCAGAUGGGAUUAGCUAGUAGGUGGGGUAACGGCUCACCUAGGCGACGAUCCCUAGCUGGUCUGAGAGGAUGACCAGCCACACGGGAAAUGAGACACGGGCAAGAUCCCUAGGGGGGGCAGGAGGGGGGAAUUUUGACAAAGGGGCGAAAGCCUGAUGCAGCCAGGCCGGGGGUAUGAAGAAGGCUUUCGGGUUGUAAAGUACUUUAAGGGGGGAGGAAGGGAGUAAAGUUAAUACCUUUGCUCAUGGGCGUUACCCGAAGAAGAAGCCCCGGCUACCCCCGG
Molecule: ribosomal RNA, 489 nt
Filed under: uncultured bacterium
Lineage: Bacteria
Description: partial 16S ribosomal RNA
Rfam family: Bacterial small subunit ribosomal RNA
Source: RNAcentral